Molecule: ribosomal RNA, 433 nt
Filed under: uncultured bacterium
Lineage: Bacteria
Description: partial 16S ribosomal RNA
Rfam family: Bacterial small subunit ribosomal RNA
Source: RNAcentral
AACGAACGCUGGCGGCAUGCCUAACACAUGCAAGUCGAACGAGAUCUUCGGAUCUAGUGGCGCACGGGUGCGUAACGCGUGGGAAUCUGCCCUUUGCUUCGGAAUAACAGAGAGAAAUUACUGCUAAUACCGGAUGAUGUCUUCGGACCAAAGAUUUAUCGGCAAAGGAUGAGCCCGCGUAGGAUUAGGUAGUUGGUGGGGUAAUGGCCUACCAAGCCGACGAUCCUUAGCUGGUCUGAGAGGAUGAUCAGCCACACUGGGACUGAGACACGGCCCAGACUCCUACGGGAGGGAGCAGUGGGGAAUAUUGGACAAUGGGGGAAACCCUGAUCCAGCAAUGCCGCGUGAGUGAUGAAGGCCUUAGGGUUGUAAAGCUCUUUUACCAGGGAUGAUAAUGACAGUACCUGGAGAAUAAGCUCCGGCUAACUACGUG